This 253-nucleotide ribosomal RNA is filed under the name uncultured bacterium. RNAcentral's name for it is "partial 16S ribosomal RNA". It matches the Rfam family "Bacterial small subunit ribosomal RNA", at positions 524 to 776 of the family's 1533-position model. The record is from RNAcentral.
UACGUAGGGGGCUAGCGUUGUCCGGAUUUAUUGGGCGUAAAGAGCGUGUAGGCGGCCGAGUAAGUCCGGUGUGAAAACUCGAGGCUUAACCUCGAGAUGUCAUCGGAAACCAUCUGGCUAGAGUCCGGAAGAGGAGAGUGGAAUUCCUGGUGUAGCGGUGAAAUGCGCAGAUAUCAGGAAGAACACCAAUGGCGAAAGCAGCUCUCUGGGACGGUACUGACGCUGAGACGCGAAAGCGUGGGGAGCGAACAGG